CCUACGGGGUGCAGCAGUGAGGAAUAUUGGUCAAUGGACGCAAGUCUGAACCAGCCAUUCCGCGUGCAGGAAGACGGCUCUAUGAGUUGUAAACUGCUUUUGUACGAGGGUAAACGCAGAUACGCGUAUCUGUCUGAAAGUAUCGUACGAAUAAGGAUCGGCUAACUCCGUGCCAGCAGCCGCGGUAAUACGGAGGAUUCAAGCGUUAUCCGGAUUUGUUGGGUUUAAAGGGUGCGUAGGCGGUCGGAUAAGUUAGAGGUGAAAUCCCGAGGCUCAACUUCGGAAUUGCCUCUGAUACGGUUCGGCUAGAGAGUAGUUGCGGUAGGCGGAAUGUAUGGUGUAGCAGUGAAAUGCUUAGAGAUCAUACAGAACACCGAUUGCGAAGGCAGCUUACCAAGCUACUUCUGACGUUGAGGCACGAAAGCGUGGGGAGCAAACAGGAUUAGAUACCCCUGUAGUC
This 460-nucleotide ribosomal RNA is filed under the name uncultured bacterium. RNAcentral's name for it is "partial 16S ribosomal RNA". It matches the Rfam family "Bacterial small subunit ribosomal RNA", at positions 338 to 795 of the family's 1533-position model. The record is from RNAcentral.